RNAcentral lists this ribosomal RNA (301 nucleotides) under uncultured bacterium. RNAcentral's name for it is "partial 16S ribosomal RNA". It matches the Rfam family "Bacterial small subunit ribosomal RNA", at positions 509 to 809 of the family's 1533-position model. The record is from RNAcentral.
CAGUCGCCGCGGUAAUACGAAGGGUGCAAGCGUUACUCGGAAUUACUGGGCGUAAAGCGUGCGUAGGUGGUGGUUUAAGUCCGUUGUGAAAGCCCUGGGCUCAACCUGGGAAUUGCAGUGGACACUGGGUCACUAGAGUGUGGUAGAGGAUAGUGGAAUUUCCGGUGUAGCAGUGAAAUGCGUAGAGAUCGGAAGGAACAUCUGUGGCGAAGGCGACUAUCUGGGCCAACACUGACACUGAGGCACGAAAGCGUGGGGAGCAAACAGGAUUAGAUACCCGGGUAGUCCCUGUCUCUUAUAA